This 548-nucleotide long non-coding RNA is filed under the name Bos taurus (domestic cattle). Its description in RNAcentral is "long non-coding RNA NONBTAT022127". Lineage: Eukaryota; Metazoa; Chordata; Mammalia; Artiodactyla; Bovidae. The record is from RNAcentral.
UCUUGGUUAAGAUUAAAGUUUGAAAAGCCUUCUGAUAUCUCUUAUUCUUCCAGGAAAUUUUUGAUGGAAUGAGCCUUAAAAAUCUCUCCUAUAUUUAUCCUUAUUUCCAGCAGUAUUAAUGUUUAUUUAAUCCAUUCAUUUAUUAAAAUAGUUUGUUUUUAAUUAAUAAGCUGUACUGUGGCUUCAUAGAACACAGCCAAAAUCUUUAAUCUGCUUUAAUGUGAGUGGGCAUGUUGAAAUCUAAUAACAGAAGUCUUGAACUUUGCCUUUAAGAAAUUCUAGUGGAAUAAUUAUAAGCUAACAAAUUAUAUUCCCUAGAUUAACACUGGGAUCCGAAGAUUUACCACAAUAUCUCUUCUAAGUGGUCAUUGUUGUAUUCCUUGUUCCUUUCUAAUUUAGGCUAAGCAUGGCAGAUUAAGUGCUAAAGUGUCUCUAAUAAUGAAAUUAAAAGAUUGUGUAUCUAGUAAGAUGCCUUGGUCAAAAGUAUAUGACUAAACAAAAGGCAGUCAGGACCCUAAUAAUUCUUUUCCAGAUGUAAAUUUUCAAGU